UGGGGAAUAUUGGACAAUGGGGGCAACCCUGAUCCAGCAAUUCUGUGUGCACGAAGAAGGUUUUCGGAUUGUAAAGUGCUUUCAGCAGGGAAGAAAAAAAUGACGGUACCUGCAGAAGAAGCGACGGCUAAAUACGUGCCAGCAGCCGCGGUAAUACGUAUGUCGCAAGCGUUAUCCGGAAUUAUUGGGCAUAAAGGGCAUCUAGGCGGCCAGAUAAGUCUGGGGUGAAAACUUGCGGCUCAACCGCAAGCCUGCCCUGGAAACUAUAUGGCUAGAGUACUGGAGAGGUGGACGGAACUGCACGAGUAGAGGUGAAAUUCGUAGAUAUGUGCAGGAAUGCCGAUGAUGAAGAUAGUUCACUGGACGGUAACUGACGCUGAAGUGCGAAAGCUAGGGGAGCAAACAGGAUUAGAUACCCUGGUAGUCCUAGCUGUAAACGAUGAUUACUGGGUGUGGGCAUGAAGAGUGUCCGUGCCGAAGCUAAUGCGAUAAGUAAUCCGCCUGGGGAGUACGGCCGCAAGGCUG
RNAcentral lists this ribosomal RNA (525 nucleotides) under uncultured bacterium. RNAcentral describes it as "bacterial SSU rRNA". It matches the Rfam family "Bacterial small subunit ribosomal RNA", at positions 355 to 896 of the family's 1533-position model. The record is from RNAcentral.